This 2899-nucleotide ribosomal RNA is filed under the name Escherichia coli STEC_S1191. RNAcentral describes it as "bacterial LSU rRNA". It matches the Rfam family "Bacterial large subunit ribosomal RNA". The record is from RNAcentral. Lineage: Bacteria; Pseudomonadati; Pseudomonadota; Gammaproteobacteria; Enterobacterales; Enterobacteriaceae.
UUAAGCGACUAAGCGUACACGGUGGAUGCCCUGGCAGUCAGAGGCGAUGAAGGACGUGCUAAUCUGCGAUAAGCGUCGGUAAGGUGAUAUGAACCGUUAUAACCGGCGAUUUCCGAAUGGGGAAACCCAGUGUCUUUCGACACACUAUCAUUAACUGAAUCCAUAGGUUAAUGAGGCGAACCGGGGGAACUGAAACAUCUAAGUACCCCGAGGAAAAGAAAUCAACCGAGAUUCCCCCAGUAGCGGCGAGCGAACGGGGAGCAGCCCAGAGCCUGAAUCAGUGUGUGUUAGUGGAAGCGUCUGGAAAGGCGCGCGAUACAGGGUGACAGCCCCGUACACAAAAAUGCACAUGCUGUGAGCUCGAUGAGUAGGGCGGGACACGUGGUAUCCUGUCUGAAUAUGGGGGGACCAUCCUCCAAGGCUAAAUACUCCUGACUGACCGAUAGUGAACCAGUACCGUGAGGGAAAGGCGAAAAGAACCCCGGCGAGGGGAGUGAAAAAGAACCUGAAACCGUGUACGUACAAGCAGUGGGAGCACGCUUAGGCGUGUGACUGCGUACCUUUUGUAUAAUGGGUCAGCGACUUAUAUUCUGUAGCAAGGUUAACCGAAUAGGGGAGCCGAAGGGAAACCGAGUCUUAACUGGGCGUUAAGUUGCAGGGUAUAGACCCGAAACCCGGUGAUCUAGCCAUGGGCAGGUUGAAGGUUGGGUAACACUAACUGGAGGACCGAACCGACUAAUGUUGAAAAAUUAGCGGAUGACUUGUGGCUGGGGGUGAAAGGCCAAUCAAACCGGGAGAUAGCUGGUUCUCCCCGAAAGCUAUUUAGGUAGCGCCUCGUGAAUUCAUCUCCGGGGGUAGAGCACUGUUUCGGCAAGGGGGUCAUCCCGACUUACCAACCCGAUGCAAACUGCGAAUACCGGAGAAUGUUAUCACGGGAGACACACGGCGGGUGCUAACGUCCGUCGUGAAGAGGGAAACAACCCAGACCGCCAGCUAAGGUCCCAAAGUCAUGGUUAAGUGGGAAACGAUGUGGGAAGGCCCAGACAGCCAGGAUGUUGGCUUAGAAGCAGCCAUCAUUUAAAGAAAGCGUAAUAGCUCACUGGUCGAGUCGGCCUGCGCGGAAGAUGUAACGGGGCUAAACCAUGCACCGAAGCUGCGGCAGCGACACUAUGUGUUGUUGGGUAGGGGAGCGUUCUGUAAGCCUGUGAAGGUGUGCUGUGAGGCAUGCUGGAGGUAUCAGAAGUGCGAAUGCUGACAUAAGUAACGAUAAAGCGGGUGAAAAGCCCGCUCGCCGGAAGACCAAGGGUUCCUGUCCAACGUUAAUCGGGGCAGGGUGAGUCGACCCCUAAGGCGAGGCCGAAAGGCGUAGUCGAUGGGAAACAGGUUAAUAUUCCUGUACUUGGUGUUACUGCGAAGGGGGGACGGAGAAGGCUAUGUUGGCCGGGCGACGGUUGUCCCGGUUUAAGCGUGUAGGCUGGUUUUCCAGGCAAAUCCGGAAAAUCAAGGCUGAGGCGUGAUGACGAGGCACUACGGUGCUGAAGCAACAAAUGCCCUGCUUCCAGGAAAAGCCUCUAAGCAUCAGGUAACAUCAAAUCGUACCCCAAACCGACACAGGUGGUCAGGUAGAGAAUACCAAGGCGCUUGAGAGAACUCGGGUGAAGGAACUAGGCAAAAUGGUGCCGUAACUUCGGGAGAAGGCACGCUGAUAUGUAGGUGAAGUCCCUUGCGGAUGGAGCUGAAAUCAGUCGAAGAUACCAGCUGGCUGCAACUGUUUAUUAAAAACACAGCACUGUGCAAACACGAAAGUGGACGUAUACGGUGUGACGCCUGCCCGGUGCCGGAAGGUUAAUUGAUGGGGUCAGCGCAAGCGAAGCUCUUGAUCGAAGCCCCGGUAAACGGCGGCCGUAACUAUAACGGUCCUAAGGUAGCGAAAUUCCUUGUCGGGUAAGUUCCGACCUGCACGAAUGGCGUAAUGAUGGCCAGGCUGUCUCCACCCGAGACUCAGUGAAAUUGAACUCGCUGUGAAGAUGCAGUGUACCCGCGGCAAGACGGAAAGACCCCGUGAACCUUUACUAUAGCUUGACACUGAACAUUGAGCCUUGAUGUGUAGGAUAGGUGGGAGGCUUUGAAGUGUGGACGCCAGUCUGCAUGGAGCCGACCUUGAAAUACCACCCUUUAAUGUUUGAUGUUCUAACGUGGACCCGUGAUCCGGGUUGCGGACAGUGUCUGGUGGGUAGUUUGACUGGGGCGGUCUCCUCCUAAAGAGUAACGGAGGAGCACGAAGGUUGGCUAAUCCUGGUCGGACAUCAGGAGGUUAGUGCAAUGGCAUAAGCCAGCUUGACUGCGAGCGUGACGGCGCGAGCAGGUGCGAAAGCAGGUCAUAGUGAUCCGGUGGUUCUGAAUGGAAGGGCCAUCGCUCAACGGAUAAAAGGUACUCCGGGGAUAACAGGCUGAUACCGCCCAAGAGUUCAUAUCGACGGCGGUGUUUGGCACCUCGAUGUCGGCUCAUCACAUCCUGGGGCUGAAGUAGGUCCCAAGGGUAUGGCUGUUCGCCAUUUAAAGUGGUACGCGAGCUGGGUUUAGAACGUCGUGAGACAGUUCGGUCCCUAUCUGCCGUGGGCGCUGGAGAACUGAGGGGGGCUGCUCCUAGUACGAGAGGACCGGAGUGGACGCAUCACUGGUGUUCGGGUUGUCAUGCCAAUGGCACUGCCCGGUAGCUAAAUGCGGAAGAGAUAAGUGCUGAAAGCAUCUAAGCACGAAACUUGCCCCGAGAUGAGUUCUCCCUGACCCUUUAAGGGUCCUGAAGGAACGUUGAAGACGACGACGUUGAUAGGCCGGGUGUGUAAGCGCAGCGAUGCGUUGAGCUAACCGGUACUAAUGAACCGUGAGGCUUAACCUU